CCUACGGGUGGCAGCAGUGAGGAAUAUUGGUCAAUGGGCGGAAGCCUGAACCAGCCAAGUAGCGUGCGGGAUGAAGGCCCUACGGGUCGUAAACCGCUUUUGCACGGGGAUAACACCCUCCACUUGUGGAGGUCUGCAGGUACCGUGCGAUUAAGGGCCGGCUAAUUCCGUGCCAGCAGCCGCGGUAAUACGGAAGGCCCGAGCGUUAUCCGGAUUCAUUGGGGUUAAAGGGUGCGUAGGCUGGCGAUCAAGUCAGCGGUAAAAUCGCGCGGCUCAACCGCGCACGGCAGUUGAAACUGGACGCCUUGAGUGCACAACAGGCAGGCGGAAUUCGUGGUGUAGCGGUGAAAUGCAUAGAUAGCACGAGGAAGCCCGAGUGCGAAGGCAGCCUGCCGGGGUGCGACUGACGCUGAGGCUCGAAGGUGCGGGUAUCAAACAGGAUUAGAUACCCUAGUAGUC
This 459-nucleotide ribosomal RNA is filed under the name uncultured bacterium. RNAcentral's name for it is "partial 16S ribosomal RNA". It matches the Rfam family "Bacterial small subunit ribosomal RNA", at positions 338 to 795 of the family's 1533-position model. The record is from RNAcentral.